RNAcentral lists this non-coding RNA (205 nucleotides) under Brochothrix campestris. RNAcentral describes it as "T-box sequence". It matches the Rfam family "T-box leader". Rfam says of the family: Uncharged tRNA acts as the effector for transcription antitermination of genes in the T-box leader family. T-boxes are found upstream of many aminoacyl-tRNA synthetase genes and some amino acid biosynthetic genes usually in Gram-positive bacteria. The record is from RNAcentral. Lineage: Bacteria; Bacillati; Bacillota; Bacilli; Caryophanales; Listeriaceae.
AUCGAUGCAAAGAAGGAACGAAGUAAAUCCCUUAUCCCUAGUUAAGAGAGCUUGUGGUCGCUGCAAACAAGUCUAUAUAAGGUGUUGAAUUACACUCUGGAGCAUUUGUACAGCAAUGUACAACGGGUCAUACCGUUAACUAUACAAGCAGUAACCGUAAUGGUUAUUAAAAUAGGGUGGUACCACGGUAACUAUCGUCCCUUCG